RNAcentral lists this long non-coding RNA (258 nucleotides) under Mustela putorius furo (domestic ferret). Its description in RNAcentral is "lncRNA (ENSMPUG00000027150.1)". The record is from RNAcentral. Lineage: Eukaryota; Metazoa; Chordata; Mammalia; Carnivora; Mustelidae.
GAUUGAAGGACUCUUUGCCAAGGAAAGAAACACGUGAAUGAAUGAAGGCAUGAAUCGGGUCCAGAUCACCUAGAAGAGAGCCCAAGGGGUAGAGACGAGAGCUCCUCUGCACUUCUCCACACCGCAUCCAACAUCUACGCCGGACGUGCACUGCCUUCUGGAGCCGGGGGUAUGGACAGAACACAGUUCAGUCUAACACGCUCCCGUCUUGAAACCAUCUCUGUCUGGAGGGGAGGGGAGCCGGACACUGGACCAAGC